AUCCGAUCGUGUUAGCGAGCUUGGAUCAUGCGAUCCUUUUGGAUCCCUCCUUCAGCCAUUUCAUGGCAUCAUUCAGUCAUCGUCAUCGUCUACCGAUCCCUCAGCUUCUUCUGUCUUCCAUGAUUCGCCAGGACGGUGCAAGGAACUCCAAAUGAGUUAGCUUCUUCCCUCGCUCUCUGCCUUGGUAUGCUUCCUGUAAUUUGCUCAUCGUUUGCUUUGGCUCAUCCGCAGUCUCUUCUCCGAGCGUUCUUAGCAUAUAUUACACGACUACGUAUGCUUUUAUGUACUGCUUGCAUACUAUCUAUCUUUCUUCCUUUUUAAUCUCAACAAGGAUGCAAGCAAAGGUUCCAGGUUUCGGUGCUCAUCUGCAGAAGAAGUCAAAUACAGGACAACCAAGUUAUACUGUGUGCGCUAGUAAUCCUUCUCCCGUCAUCCUCUGCGGUCAUGAAACUUCAUGACCACAAAAUGCUAUUUCAACAUGCGGAAACCUGCUAAUUAAUCUCUUGGCCUUUGAAAGUGUAGGAGAUCUGCUCCGGAUCUUGUCAGCGUCCCAUUUGCUGAUUGGAAUGAAGAAAGUCACAUUUUGUUGCUGGAAAGAAGUUGCAGCCAUAGUCUCAUAAACCAUUUGGACAGCAUCUGCGUCGAGACCUAAAGUGACCAACCAUCUAACUCAGAACAAAACAAAUGGAUCAGGAUUCUCUGUGUUUGGUCCCUCCAUUUCAGGUGGAUACAUGCAUCCACUGUGCCAAAAAGCUGGUGAUGCAGGGCCCUGCCUCCAUGAACCCGAGAUGGGGAUCUUCGCCCAUCACAACCAGUCGUAGCUCCAUCCCUGUCCUACGACAUUGAUUCCAUGUUUCGAGUUUGUACUCCCAACAGGACACACAGUCUUCGCCUGCCAUCGUCACCAUCUUAGUCUCCAUAAGUUCGCAAUGCCUUGGGAAGUGCAAAAACACGGAAUAGCUUCUUCUCACAGGUGAGGUAGGAGAAAAGGAACUCCCACCAACAAAAGCGACAUGGAUCCAACACCAUCCAUCCAUUCUUGCUAGUUGUAAAGAUGCCAUCUACUUGUAUCGAAUUGACCCAUAAAUUCGAUAGCGUUCUAAACUUUACCAGCUUAUGAGCUUCUGUUUUCUUUUUCA
Molecule: non-coding RNA, 1139 nt
Organism: Musa acuminata subsp. malaccensis (wild Malaysian banana)
Lineage: Eukaryota; Viridiplantae; Streptophyta; Magnoliopsida; Zingiberales; Musaceae
Source: RefSeq, a predicted model, not a curated record